Cyprinodon tularosa is the source of this 607-nucleotide long non-coding RNA. RefSeq lists it as uncharacterized. NCBI's taxonomy places the organism in Eukaryota, Metazoa, Chordata, Actinopteri, Cyprinodontiformes, Cyprinodontidae. The transcript is spliced from 4 exons. The record is from RefSeq and is a predicted model, not a curated record.
CAUUUGUGACUUUAAAUAUAAGAUCUUAUUUACUUUAAAAGUUAGAUUUCUUCACAAAGAUAUAUUAACAUCUUUAUCGUCUGUUCUGUAAGGUUCCACAGACGAGGAGUGGCUGUGAGUUUUCUGCUGUAGAGUGUCCCCCAGAAGUUGAGAAGAAAAGAGACAGGCAUUUAGCAAGGAAGUGUUUGGAAAAACACAAAGACAGUAGGAGUGAAGAGCUUCUGGAAACAUCAGUAACUGAGGAUAGUGGAGAACUAAUAGAAAAUGAAAGAGCAGACAUGGCGGCAGACCCCUCUCCCAGACAACAACCUUCUGAGGAAGAAAUCGGCGAAUCAUUGAGACUUUCUGCUUUACCUUUGAUUUUUCCUGGUCAGAGAAAAUGUGACAAUCACACAGCUGUAAGCAGUUUAGACCAUGUGGAUUCUCAAAAAUUAUGCAUGAACAGCAUCCGAGGCUCAGACCAUGCUUAUCUCCAAGGUCAGCAGGAGGUCUCAUCCUCAGGGCUCCUAACAGGUUCUGAUUUGGACACAAUGAAUUUGGAUCAACUGCAAAGAGAAACGCUAAAAGUGCAGCUGGAAGUUUUAAGCCUACAAAAGGAAUAUUACAC